GGGGAAUGGAGGACAGUACUACUCCAGUGAUAUGAUAGAGGAGAUGGUGGAAUGGAGGACAGUACUAAACCAGUGAUAUGAUAGAGGUGAUGGUGGAAUGGAGGACAGUAUUAUACCAGUGAUAUGAUAGAAGAGAUGGUGGAAUGGAGGACAGUACUAUACCAGUGAUAUGAUAGAGGUGAUGGUGGAAUGGAGGACAGUACUACUCCAGUGAUAUGAUAGAGGUGAUGGUGGAAUGGAGGACAGUACUACUCCAGUGAUAUGAUAGAGGAGAUGGUAGAAUGGAGGACAGUACUACUCCAGUGAUAUGAUAGAGGGAUGGUGGAGGAGAAUGGAGGACAGUACUAAACCAGUGAUAUGAUAGAGGAGAUGGUAGAAUGGAGGACAGUACUAAAAUAGUGAG
Oncorhynchus tshawytscha (Chinook salmon) is the source of this 403-nucleotide long non-coding RNA. The record is from Ensembl. NCBI's taxonomy places the organism in Eukaryota, Metazoa, Chordata, Actinopteri, Salmoniformes, Salmonidae.